RNAcentral lists this microRNA (21 nucleotides) under Nematostella vectensis (starlet sea anemone). Its description in RNAcentral is "nve-miR-9441". The record is from miRBase by way of RNAcentral. Lineage: Eukaryota; Metazoa; Cnidaria; Anthozoa; Actiniaria; Edwardsiidae.
GGCAAGAUUACUCGGGGUGAG